GGCCUGAUGGUCUAGUGGUAUGAUUCGUGCUUCGGGUUCUUCCCAUUACUUGAUGAAACAAGUUACCAGUAUGUGCGAGGUCCCGGGUUCAAAUCCCGGUUAGGCCC
Molecule: non-coding RNA, 107 nt
Organism: Bombardia bombarda
Lineage: Eukaryota; Fungi; Ascomycota; Sordariomycetes; Sordariales; Lasiosphaeriaceae
Source: the annotation of a GenBank genome assembly